GAUGAACGCUGGCGGCGUGCCUAAUACAUGCAAGUCGAGCGAACGGACGAGAAGCUUGCUUCUCUGAUGUUAGCGGCGGACGGGUGAGUAACACGUGGAUAACCUACCUAUAAGACUGGGAUAACUUCGGGAAACCGGAGCUAAUACCGGAUGAUAUUUUGAACCGCAUGGUUCAAAAGUGAAAGACGGUCUUGCUGUCACUUAUAGAUGGAUCCGCGCUGCAUUAGCUAGUUGGUAAGGUAACGGCUUACCAAGGCAACGAUGCAUAGCCGACCUGAGAGGGGGAUCGGCCACACUGGAACUGAGACACGGUCCAGACUCCUACGGGAGGCAGCAGUAGGGAAUCUUCCGCAAUGGGCGAAAGCCUGACGGAGCAACGCCGCGUGAGUGAUGAAGGUCUUCGGAUCGUAAAACUCUGUUAUUAGGGAAGAACAUAUGUGUAAGUAACUGUGCACAUCUGGACGGUACCUAAUCAGAAAGCCACGGCAAACUACGU
Molecule: ribosomal RNA, 496 nt
Filed under: uncultured bacterium
Lineage: Bacteria
Description: partial 16S ribosomal RNA
Rfam family: Bacterial small subunit ribosomal RNA
Source: RNAcentral